Molecule: ribosomal RNA, 420 nt
Filed under: bacterium
Lineage: Bacteria
Description: partial 16S ribosomal RNA
Rfam family: Bacterial small subunit ribosomal RNA
Source: RNAcentral
UGGGGGAUAUUGCACAAUGGGCGAAAGCCUGAUGCAGCGACGCCGCGUGGGGGAUGAAGGCUUUCGGGUUGUAAACCUCUUUCGCUAUCGAACAAGGCCCGCUUAGGGUGGGUUGAGGGUAGGUGGAGAAGAAGCGCCGGCUAACUACGUGCCAGCAGCCGCGGUAAUACGUAGGGCGCGAGCGUUGUCCGGAAUUAUUGGGCGUAAAGGGCUUGUAGGCGGCUUGUUGCGCCUGCUGUGAAAACGCGGGGCUUAACUUCGCGCGUGCAGUGGGUACGGGCAGGAUUAAGUGUGGUAGGGGUGACUGGAAUUCCAGGUGUAGCGGUGGAAUGCGCAGAUAUCUGGAGGAACACCGAUGGCGAAGGCAGGUCACUGGGCCAUUACUGACGCUGAGGAGCGAAAGCAUGGGUAGCGAACAGG